UCCCUGGCAGUCCAGUGGUUAGGACUCGGCGCUCUUACUGCCGAGGGCCCGGGUUCAAUCCCUGGUUGGGGAA
Molecule: transfer RNA, 73 nt
Filed under: Balaenoptera musculus (blue whale)
Lineage: Eukaryota; Metazoa; Chordata; Mammalia; Artiodactyla; Balaenopteridae
Also listed under: 1 other name
Rfam family: tRNA
About the family: Transfer RNA (tRNA) molecules are approximately 80 nucleotides in length.
Source: Rfam by way of RNAcentral